UACGUAGGGUGCGAGCGUUAAUCGGAAUUACUGGGCGUAAAGUGUGCGCAGGCGGCCGCGCAAGUCGAGUGUGAAAUCCCCGAGCUCAACUCGGGAACUGCGUCCGAUACUGGUGGGCUUGAAUCCGGGAGAGGGAUGCGGAAUUCCAGGUGUAGCGGUGAAAUGCGUAGAUAUCUGGAGGAACACCGGUGGCGAAGGCGGCAUCCUGGACCGGCAUUAACGCUGAGGCGCGAAAGCUAGGGGAGCAAACGGG
This 253-nucleotide ribosomal RNA is filed under the name uncultured bacterium. RNAcentral describes it as "partial 16S ribosomal RNA". It matches the Rfam family "Bacterial small subunit ribosomal RNA", at positions 524 to 776 of the family's 1533-position model. The record is from RNAcentral.